Molecule: ribosomal RNA, 484 nt
Filed under: uncultured bacterium
Lineage: Bacteria
Description: partial 16S ribosomal RNA
Rfam family: Bacterial small subunit ribosomal RNA
Source: RNAcentral
AUUGAACGCUGGCGGCAGGCCUAACACAUGCAAGUCGAGCGGAUGAAGGGAGCUUGCUCCUGGAUUCAGCGGCGGACGGGUGAGUAAUGCCUAGGAAUCUGCCUGGUAGUGGGGGAUAACGUCCGGAAACGGGCGCUAAUACCGCAUACGUCCUGAGGGAGAAAGUGGGGGAUCUUCGGACCUCACGCUAUCAGAUGAGCCUAGGUCGGAUUAGCUAGUUGGUGGGGUAAAGGCCUACCAAGGCGACGAUCCGUAACUGGUCUGAGAGGAUGAUCAGUCACACUGGAACUGAGACACGGUCAAGACGCCUACGGGAGGCAGCAGUGGGGAAUAUUGGACAAUGGGCGAAAGCCUGAUCCAGCCAUGCCGCGUGUGUGAAGAAGGUCUUCGGAUUGUAAAGCACUUUAAGUUGGGAGGAAGGGCAGUAAGUUAAUAACUUGCUGUUUUGACGUUACCAACAGAAUAAGCACCGGCUAACUUCGUG